AUACGGAGGGUGCAAGCGUUAUUCGGAAUCACUGGGCGUAAAGGACGCGUAGGCGGGUUGGCAAGUCAGAUGUGAAAUCCUACAGCUUAACUGUAGAACUGCAUUUGAAACUGCUAACCUAGAGUAUGGGAGGGGGAGAUGGAAUUAGUGGUGUAGGGGUAAAAUCCGUAGAUAUCACUAGGAAUACCGAAAGCGAAGGCGAUCUCCUGGAACAUAACUGACGCUAAGGCGUGAAAGCGUGGGGAGCAAACAGCAUUAGAUACCCUAGUAGUCC
RNAcentral lists this ribosomal RNA (274 nucleotides) under uncultured bacterium. RNAcentral describes it as "partial 16S ribosomal RNA". It matches the Rfam family "Bacterial small subunit ribosomal RNA", at positions 523 to 796 of the family's 1533-position model. The record is from RNAcentral.